This 850-nucleotide ribosomal RNA is filed under the name uncultured Bacteroidota bacterium. RNAcentral describes it as "bacterial SSU rRNA". It matches the Rfam family "Bacterial small subunit ribosomal RNA", at positions 29 to 862 of the family's 1533-position model. Lineage: Bacteria; Pseudomonadati; Bacteroidota. The record is from RNAcentral.
ACGAACGCUGGCGGCGUGCCUAACACAUGCAAGUCGAACGGAGUGUUGCGCUGAAAUUGAGAUUAGCUUGCUAAAGGAUAUUUCUUGCAACACUUAGUGGCGGACGGGUGAGUAACGCGUGAGGAACCUGCCUUACAGAGGGGGACAACAGUUGGAAACGACUGCUAAUACCGCAUGAUGUGGAGGGGAGACAUCUCCCUUUCACCAAAGGAGCAAUCCGCUGUAAGAUGGCCUCGCGUCUGAUUAGAUAGUUGGUGGGGUAACGGCCUACCAAGCCGACGAUCAGUAGCCGGACUGAGAGGUUGAACGGCCACAUUGGGACUGAGACACGGCCCAGACUCCUACGGGAGGCAGCAGUGGGGGAUAUUGCACAAUGGAGGAAACUCUGAUGCAGCAACGCCGCGUGAGGGAAGAAGGUUUUCGGAUUGUAAACCUCUGUUUUUAGUGAAGAAACAAAUGACGGUAGCUAAAGAGGAAGCCACGGCUAACUACGUGCCAGCAGCCGCGGUAAUACGUAGGUGGCAAGCGUUGUCCGGAAUUACUGGGUGUAAAGGGUGCGCAGGCGGGAUUGCAAGUUGGAUGUGAAAUACCGGGGCUUAACCCCGGAGCUGCAUCCAAAACUGUAGUUCUUGAGUGGAGUAGAGGUAAGCGGAAUUCCGAGUGUAGCGGUGAAAUGCGUAGAUAUUCGGAGGAACACCAGUGGCGAAGGCGGCUUACUGGGCUCUAACUGACGCUGAGGCACGAAAGCAUGGGUAGCAAACAGGAUUAGAUACCCUGGUAGUCCAUGCUGUAAACGAUGAAUGCUAGGUGUGGGGGGACUGACCCCUUCCGUGCCGGAGUAAACACAAAA